AGAUAACAACGCCUAUCCCUACCUCCUCGUGGUACUGACCGGGGUACGAGCAACCUUAGGAAAGAUCGGGUAACCAACCCCGGUGGAAACUUUGGUCAUAUGCUGUCAGGGAAGG
This 115-nucleotide ribozyme is filed under the name Aedes aegypti (yellow fever mosquito). RNAcentral's name for it is "drz-agam-1 ribozyme". It matches the Rfam family "drz-agam-1 ribozyme". Lineage: Eukaryota; Metazoa; Arthropoda; Insecta; Diptera; Culicidae. The record is from Rfam by way of RNAcentral.